RNAcentral lists this ribosomal RNA (467 nucleotides) under uncultured bacterium. Its description in RNAcentral is "partial 16S ribosomal RNA". It matches the Rfam family "Bacterial small subunit ribosomal RNA", at positions 28 to 507 of the family's 1533-position model. The record is from RNAcentral.
GAUGAACGCUGGCGGCGUGCUUAACACAUGCAAGUCGAACGGAAAGGCCUCUGCUUGCAGGGGUACUCGAGUGGCGAACGGGUGAGUAACACGUGGGUGAUCUGCCCUGCACUUCGGGAUAAGCCUGGGAAACUGGGUCUAAUACCGGAUAGGACAAUGGUUUGGAUGCUGUUGUGGAAAGUUUUUCGGUGUGGGAUGAGCUCGCGGCCUAUCAGCUUGUUGGUGGGGUGAUGGCCUACCAAGGCGUCGACGGGUAGCCGGCCUGAGAGGGUGUACGGCCACAGUGGGACUGAGAUACGGCCCAGACUCCUACGGGAGGCAGCAGUGGGGAAUAUUGCACAAUGGGCGCAAGCCUGAUGCAGCGACGCCGCGUGGGGGAUGACGGCCUUCGGGUUGUAAACUCCUUUCGCUAGGGACGAAGCGUUUUUGUGACGGUACCUGGAGAAGAAGCACCGGCUAACUACGUG